Molecule: ribosomal RNA, 305 nt
Filed under: uncultured bacterium
Lineage: Bacteria
Description: partial 16S ribosomal RNA
Rfam family: Bacterial small subunit ribosomal RNA
Source: RNAcentral
ACAGCAGCAGCCGCGGUAAUACCGAGGGUGCGAGCGUUAAUCGGAUUUACUGGGCGUAAAGCGUGCGUAGGCGGCUUCUUAAGUCGGAUGUGAAAUCCCUGAGCUUAACUUAGGAAUUGCAUUCGAUACUGGGAAGCUAGAGUAUGGGAGAGGAUGGUAGAAUUCCAGGUGUAGCGGUGAAAUGCGUAGAGAUCUGGAGUAAUACCGAUGGCGAAGGCAGCCAUCUGGCCUAAUACUGACGCUGAGGUACGAAAGCAUGGGGAGCAAACAGGAUUAGAUACCCCCGUAGUCCCUGUCUCUUAUAC